RNAcentral lists this ribosomal RNA (463 nucleotides) under uncultured bacterium. RNAcentral's name for it is "partial 16S ribosomal RNA". It matches the Rfam family "Bacterial small subunit ribosomal RNA", at positions 339 to 795 of the family's 1533-position model. The record is from RNAcentral.
CUACGGGUUGCAGCAGUGGGGAAUAUUGCACAAUGGGCGAAAGCCUGAUGCAGCAACGCCGCGUGGGUGAUGAAGGCUUUCGGGUCGUAAAGCCCUGUCAGAGGGGAAGAACGGACAGUAGAGGAAAUGCUACUGUAUUGACGGUACCCUCAAAGGAAGCACCGGCUAACUCCGUGCCAGCAGCCGCGGUAAUACGGGGGGUGCUAGCGUUGUGCGGAAUCACUGGGCGAAAGCGCGUGUAGGCGGAUGAUCAAGUCAGAUGUGAAAUCCCACGGCUCCACCGUGGACGUGCAUUUGAAACUGAUCGUCUAGAGUAAGGUAGAGGGAAGGGGAAUUCCCGGUGUAGAGGUGAAAUUCGUAGAUAUCGGGAGGAAUACCGGUGGCGAAGGCGCCUUCCUGGACCAUUACUGACGCUCAGACGCGAAAGCGUGGGUAGCAAACAGGAUUAGAUACCCGUGUAGUC